AGCGAACGCUGGCGGCAGGCCUAACACAUGCAAGUCGAACGAACACUUCGGAGUUAGGGGCGGAGGGGGGGGUAACACGGGGGAACGAGCCCUUGGGUUCGGUAUAACUCAGGGAAACUUGUCCUAAGACCGAAUGGGCCCUUCGGGGGAAGGAUUUAUCGCUAUUGGAGCGGCCCGCGUCUGAUUAGCUGGUUGGUGAGGUAACGGCUGACCAAGGCGACGAUCAGUAGCUGGUCGGAGAGGAUGACCAUCCACACUGGGACUGCGACCCGGCCCAGACUCCUACGGGAGGCAGCAGUGGGGAAUCUUGCGCACUGGGCGAAAGCCUGACGCAGCCAUGCCGCGUGAAUGAUGAAGGUCUUAGGAUUGUAAAAUUCUUUCACCGGGGACGAUAAUGACGGUACCCGGAGAAGAAGCCCCGGCUAACUUCGUG
Molecule: ribosomal RNA, 433 nt
Filed under: uncultured bacterium
Lineage: Bacteria
Description: partial 16S ribosomal RNA
Rfam family: Bacterial small subunit ribosomal RNA
Source: RNAcentral